AUUGUAUUGCAAGCUGCUCUCAGUGCACAGAGACCAUCUUCACUAUGCAUAUCAGUGGGAACUUGUAAAAAGCAAAAGGUCUCUACAAGAGGGUGAAUCUCAAAAGGUUUGAUUCAGACACCACGGGAAAAAAAAAAAAAAAGUUUUUAAGUAGCUUCUUUGUUAUGAAAAUCAGUUAGAAAAUCUCAUGAGAAUAGGUUUUCUGCUUAUGAGAAUUGCAGUAUUGUCCCAGUUUUGGCUGAACUGAAAAUACCAAUAGAAUGGUCUUUUCUUAAAAUGCUUUAAUAAAUCAAUAACUGUUUUUUAUCAAAACCAACAAAAGUAAGAAGUCUGUGAAAACUCAAAAUGUUAAACAGAGAAAGAAAAUGUUUGAAAAUGGAUAACUUCACUCUGGAGCUGACUUCACAGACCUGGAAAAAUACCCAGUAGGCCUAUCUUCAAGGAGGUUAGAACCAUAUGUUUCUGUGCAUUUGUUCUUUAUCUUUUCAGCUAAACCAGAAAUGAAAGAAAAAAAUAAUAAUACAGCCCUCCAGCUCUAUUAUAGCUUUUAUCAUUUCAGAUCUUUCCCUUAAUAAUUCAAAGUAAACUAAUUACCUAAUUAAGUUAACAGGUGUCAGUCAUUCAAACAUAAAGAGCUACUUGAUAGACCUGAACUGGGGAAUUCUUUUCCUUAAGUGUCUGCACUUAAAAUUUGAAACAUAAUGGCAUUAAAACAACUGAUUGAGUUCUUUUAAAGACAUUGUAGCUUAGAUCCUUACUGGAGGCAUUCACCUGUGAGGUAAUUAGGCUUUUACCUCCCAUUACAAUACUUUGGCAAGCUUCCUGAUGAAUCCUUUAUGUGUGGUCCCUCAUGUCUAGGAGCCUACAGUAAAGAGUUGUACUGUUUGAAAGGAGGAUGAGGAGCUGCUUGUUAAAGGAAGGGGAGAAUGCUGGCCUUGCUGUUUACAUGCAGAAGAGAUGCUAGGUUCAAGGGCUGAGUACAUUCACUGGAAAGUUCCCCUACAACUCCAUAUGCUUUGGGUCAUGCUUAGAGGUGUAGAGGUCCACUGUUCCAGCUGGAAGAUGGCAUUUGUGACUGCAACCUGAAAAACAGGCAUUAGGAUUUAUUUCUGAAGCAACACAUCUGCAGCCUAACUAUGCUGUAAACUUUCAUUAAAUGCUUGAUGGAAAUCAAUGCUCAUUUAUAAAGUGAUAUUGCAGCACUACAGUUUGAUAUGACAGAACUAGUCAUGGUAAAUAAAUGAUUCAGGGAAUAUGGCUUUUUUGCUUUU
RNAcentral lists this long non-coding RNA (1271 nucleotides) under Anas platyrhynchos platyrhynchos (common mallard). Its description in RNAcentral is "lncRNA (ENSAPLG00000025858.1)". Lineage: Eukaryota; Metazoa; Chordata; Aves; Anseriformes; Anatidae. The record is from RNAcentral.